AGCAUGAGCACUUGGGCAGAGCAGCUGAUACCUGCUUGGCUACAGGAUGCUGUGGCUGUACAAAUAUGUGUGAAUGUGCCACGUCGAAAUUCUGAUUUUGAUUAAAAAAGAAAAUGGAAGAAGCUCAACAUUACCAUCUAAUGAAAAGUGCUGUCGAACAUGUUCGUGGUUUUGUUGCAGCAAGCAGGUGAAAGGUGUAGUUAAAUACAGUUUAGCUGUUGCAUGGAGUCUGUGGUGCCUAUGCUAUCCUGGAGUGUUUAGUUGUUCUGACUGGUUCUGACGUAUGGCUUUCUGACUUUCUCUCAGCUGCUAAGUUCUCAGUUGAAGAAUUCUGUUGAACUGCACAUGAUCUGAAAUGAUGAGCACUUGACACUUGUAUUUCAUCAGAACUUCUUCUUUGGAUUAGCUGAGGAUACUUCACUAAAAGGAAUCAUCUUGCAAGGAAACUUGGUGCAGAAGUAGCUGAUUGACCGUUAGUUUAUUCUGGUUCUGAGAAACACAUGACAAAAAUUUGGAGAAGAAAAACAAUCUCUCGGAUUCAUCACAGAUUUUGCAGAAUCCUAACAGAAUAAGAAGGGAGUGUCCUACAGCUGAAAUUGUGCCCCAUUUUACCAAGUAUUGCUGGCUCCGGUCAACAUUUGGUCUAGUUGCGUAAGCAUUUUUGCCAGUGAACAGUCGGAAUAUCGAAAAUCUUUAACAGUAAUUGUAACGUGCCUUACCUGAGAUCGCGAGUCAUCCCAUCCAGUUCAUCCCAAGACCGCUAUUUCAUAUGACUUGACAUGCAGGAUACGGCGAAAAAAACCAUCGAGCGAAUGAUGUUGGACAGCAGCAACGCGAAGCGGCUUACCUCUGAAAUAUAUGUCGAACGAUAAUGAAGUGGAAGUGAAUGCUGCAGUCCUUUCCGUUUUCUCCUCUACAAAUCAGUCGCUCUGCUUAAAGCCAAGUUCCAAAUUAAAUUACAGGUUUCUAAAUUGGCAUGAUAGACUUAAUGAUAAGUACCUUUCCUUUCAAGAAAGAUAACAAGACAACAUUUAAGAAAGACAACAAGGUCCCUUGUUUAGCAACUAAUGGCUGCUACUCUUGAAUCUCCCUUUUUACUUCCUUAAACGGGCCCUCUUGAUAUGAGGGUAAUCCUUCGCUACUUAUCGUGGACUUCAACCAUUGCUGGAAACCAACCUUGAGAGCAUGCUGUCAUUCAAGAAUGAUAAAUUGUAUUGUUAGUUAAAUUACUAGUGCAUAUCUGGGCUCCCUUCUUUUCUGUGGCCCCGUUUCCCUAACUAAACACUAACCAACGCCCGCCGGUGGUCACUCGCCCGCUGUGAAACCAGGAGGAGGGGAGGGCUCUGGUCGAACGGGGACUUGGAAGGCGCAUGAUCCGAUGAAAACUUUUGGAGGGUCAUGAGUCUAACCCGGAAGCCUAGUAUGACUACAUCUCCCCGGAAAAACUUGCCUCGUACUUCUCUCUUCUUCUCGGUCCAGAUACUAUCUCUGGGGGCCGUAGACAAAACCUAUAACAGCAUGUGCGAGUUUAUAAGAUGCAGCCCACUACCCAAUGAAAGAAAAAGCCGUGGAUUUGUUUUGCGGACAUCUGCGUCAGUCACGCAGAUUUCCGUACAAAUAGUCCAUCGUUUUUUGUCUCAUUGCCGCAGCGGUGGUGGCGGGUUUGCAAUAAACUCGUACAGUAGAAAAACGUCUUGAACCGGACGCUCUGUUUAUUGAAUUAUUGAAAUAAAAAUAAAAAAAAGUUG
This is a long non-coding RNA of Daphnia pulex (common water flea), 1748 nucleotides long. RefSeq lists it as uncharacterized. NCBI's taxonomy places the organism in Eukaryota, Metazoa, Arthropoda, Branchiopoda, Diplostraca, Daphniidae. The transcript is spliced from 6 exons. The record is from RefSeq and is a predicted model, not a curated record.